GACAGUUCGGUCCCUAUCUGCCGUGGGCGUUGGAAGAUUGAAGGGGGCUGCUCCUAGUACGAGAGGACCGGAGUGGACGAACCUCUGGUGUUCGGGUUGUGUCGCCAGACGCAUUGCCCGGUAGCUAAGUUCGGAAUCGAUAACCGCUGAAAGCAUCUAAGCGGGAAGCGAGCCCUGAGAUGAGUCUUCCCUGAUACUUUAAGUAUCCUAAAGGGUUGUCGGAGACUACGACGUUGAUAGGUCAGGUGUGUAAGUGCUGUGAGGCAUUGAGCUAACUGAUACUAAUUGCCCGUGAGGCUUAACCAUACAACACCCAAGGGGUUU
This 324-nucleotide ribosomal RNA is filed under the name Vibrio parahaemolyticus. Its description in RNAcentral is "bacterial LSU rRNA". It matches the Rfam family "Bacterial large subunit ribosomal RNA", at positions 2625 to 2925 of the family's 2925-position model. The record is from RNAcentral. Lineage: Bacteria; Pseudomonadati; Pseudomonadota; Gammaproteobacteria; Vibrionales; Vibrionaceae.